UUUCRGAAACRAAUGCUAAUACCGGAUACGCKAUAUGGUCGCAUGACUGAAUCGGGAAAGAUGGAGCAAUCUAUCACUUAUAGAUGGACCCGCGGCGCAUUAKCUAGUUGGUGAGGUAACGGCUCACCARGGMGACUAUGCGUASCCGACCUGAGAGGGUGAUCGGCCACACUGGGACUGAGACACGGCCCACACUCCUACGGGAGGCAGCAGURGGGAAUCUUCCGCAAUGGACGAAAGUCUGACAGAGCAACSCCGCGUGAGUGAUGAAGGUUUUCAGAUCGUAAAGCUCUGUUGCCRGGGAAGAAUGYUUGGGAGAGUAACUGCUCCCARGGUGACGGUACCUGARAAGAAAGCCCCGGCUAACUACGUGCCAGCAGCCGCGGUAAUACGURGGGGGCAAGCGUUGUCCGGAAUUAUUGGGCGUAAAGCGCGCGCRGGCGGCCUUGUAAGUCUGUUGUUUAAACUUGGGGCUCAACCCCAAGUCGCAGGGGAAACUGCAAAKCUUGAGUACARAAGAAGAAAGUGGAAUUCCACGUGUAGCGGUGAAAUGCGUAGAGAUGUGGARGAAC
This 572-nucleotide ribosomal RNA is filed under the name Caryophanales bacterium. RNAcentral describes it as "Bacillales bacterium partial 16S ribosomal RNA". It matches the Rfam family "Bacterial small subunit ribosomal RNA", at positions 148 to 707 of the family's 1533-position model. The record is from RNAcentral. Lineage: Bacteria; Bacillati; Bacillota; Bacilli; Caryophanales.